This 743-nucleotide ribosomal RNA is filed under the name uncultured crenarchaeote. Its description in RNAcentral is "bacterial SSU rRNA". It matches the Rfam family "Archaeal small subunit ribosomal RNA", at positions 19 to 744 of the family's 1478-position model. Lineage: Archaea; Thermoproteati; Thermoproteota. The record is from RNAcentral.
GGACUCCACUGCUAUCGGGGUAAGGCUAAGCCAUGCAAGUCGAAGGUCCCCGGCUCCGGGGGCCUGGCGUACGGCUGAGUAACGCGUGGCCAACCUGCCCUGCGGAGGGGGAUAACCCCGGGAAACUGGGGAUAAACCCCCAUAGGUGACCGGGUCUGGAAGGACCGGUCGCCGAAAGUCCCGGUCGGGGACGCUCCGGCCGGGAGCCGCAGGAUGGGGCUGCGUCCUAUCAGGUAGUUGGUGGGGUAACGGCCCACCAAGCCUGUGACGGGUAGGGGCCCUGAGAGGGGGAGCCCCCAGAUGGACUCUGAGACAAGAGUCCAGGCCCUACGGGGCGCAGCAGGCGCGAAAACUCCGCAAUGGGCGAAAGCCCGACGGGGUUACCCCGAGUGCCACCCUCGUGGUGGCUUUUGCCCGCUCUAAAAAGGCGGGCGAAUAAGGGGAGGGCAAGUCGGGUGUCAGCCGCCGCGGUAAUACCCGCUCCCCGAGUGGUGGAGGCUAUUACUGGGCCUAAAGCGCCCGUAGCCGGCCCGGUGUGUCCCUCGUUAAAUCCACGGGCUUAACCCGUGGGCUGCGGGGGAUACUACCGGGCUUGGGGGUGGGAGAGGCGCCCGGUAUUCCCGGGGUAGGGGUAAAAUCCUCUGAUCCCGGGAGGACCAUCAGUGGCGAAGGCGGGGCGCCAGAACACGCCCGACGGUGAGGGGCGAAAGCUGGGGGAGCAAAGGGAUUAGAUACCCCGGUAG